GUCAAGAUGGUGGAGUGGUUAACACGUUCGCCUGCUAGACUCUUGAGGAGUUAGUCAGCGGAUGCCUUCGGGCGCGCAGGUUCGAAUCCUGUUCUUGACG
This 100-nucleotide transfer RNA is filed under the name Choiromyces venosus 120613-1. It matches the Rfam family "tRNA". Rfam says of the family: Transfer RNA (tRNA) molecules are approximately 80 nucleotides in length. Their secondary structure includes four short double-helical elements and three loops (D, anti-codon, and T loops). The record is from Rfam by way of RNAcentral. Lineage: Eukaryota; Fungi; Ascomycota; Pezizomycetes; Pezizales; Tuberaceae.